GACGUAGGAGGCGAGCGUUGUCCGGAUUCAUUGGGCGUAAAGAGCACGCAGGCGGUUUGGCAAGUCGGAUGUGAAAACCCGAAGCUCAACUUCGGGCCUGCAUCCGAAACUGCCCGACUAGAGGUAGGUAGGGGAGAUCGGAAUUCCUGGUGUAGCGGUGAAAUGCGCAGAUAUCAGGAGGAACACCAGUGGCGAAGGCGACUUCCUGGCCUGUUCUUGACGCUGAGGCGCGAAAGCUAGGGGAGCAAACGGG
Molecule: ribosomal RNA, 253 nt
Filed under: uncultured bacterium
Lineage: Bacteria
Description: partial 16S ribosomal RNA
Rfam family: Bacterial small subunit ribosomal RNA
Source: RNAcentral